UACGGAGGGUGCAAGCGUUAUCCGGAUUCACUGGGUUUAAAGGGUGCGUAGGCGGGCAGGUAAGUCAGUGGUGAAAUCUCCGAGCUUAACUCGGAAACUGCCGUUGAUACUAUUUGUCUUGAAUAUUGUGGAGGUAAGCGGAAUAUGUCAUGUAGCGGUGAAAUGCUUAGAUAUGACAUAGCACACCAAUUGCGAAGGCAGCUUACUACACAACGAUUGACGCUGAGGCACGAAAGCGUGGGGAUCAAACAGG
This 253-nucleotide ribosomal RNA is filed under the name uncultured bacterium. Its description in RNAcentral is "partial 16S ribosomal RNA". It matches the Rfam family "Bacterial small subunit ribosomal RNA", at positions 524 to 776 of the family's 1533-position model. The record is from RNAcentral.